This 1249-nucleotide long non-coding RNA is filed under the name Mus musculus (house mouse). RNAcentral's name for it is "long non-coding RNA chr9:114748094-114749343". The record is from RNAcentral. Lineage: Eukaryota; Metazoa; Chordata; Mammalia; Rodentia; Muridae.
UGGGCACACAGCUUCUGCCCUGUCCCUGCCUCACUGCCUGAUCUGCUGUCCUCAAGGUUUACAUACUGGUGAUGUCACCAUAGCUGCUCUGGAGAUCAUGAAACUGAUCCUUAACAUUGCCUUACUGGACAUGCCAUUCCAGAGAGGGGACAGUAGGCUCUUGAAACCAAGAAUAGAGAAGUUCAAAAGUAACCAGUCUAUUGCAGACAAUUUUAGAGUUUUAUAUCAAGCUGUGCUGUAAAUAUCAUUUAGACCUAUUGAGAAUUAACAGCAAAUCUGAGCUACUUUAGUGUUACCAACUAUUAGUCUGCUGACUGUUUCUAUAACAAAAUACCUGAGACAAUCAACUUAAAAAGAGGAAGGGUUGGGGAAAAGGUUAAUCUUGGCUUGCAGUUUUGUAGGCUUUGGCCCUUAGUCAGACCUGCUGUUUUAGACAGCAACACAUCACUUGGGGAGUUUGUUGUAGAUCUGGAAGCAAGGAAAGAAGGGCGGUGGCUUGAGGUCCUGAGGUCACUUAAGGGCACACCCUCUCUGACCUAAGACCUCACUAGGCCCCGCCUCUAAAGGUUUCUGACCUCAAUAGUGCCUUCCUGGAGAACUAGUUUCUAACUCUCAGGCCCUUGGGGACAUUGCAUCUCAGUAGUAGGUGCCUCUCUACCUGUGUUUGGCUUGUUCAUGAUUGGCAGACACUCUGCCUGGCUCUGCACAGCAGCGGCUCAGCAUCAGCAUCCAGCUGCUUGCUGUGUGUUAGUUGUCUCACAGCUGAGGGCUCUGCCUCGGCUACUUCAGGCUUUCCGGUUAGGAAGAUAAUUUGGUCACUUGUGUCUGUGGCCACUCUUAGAAUUUUCUCUUUUGAGGGAACCUGUGACUGGUUGGCUUUUGCAUUCUAUGGAGGGAGAUGGGGUUAAAGACUGUGGCAACACACACCCUCCAGAAGAGCUGGGACCAGAGACUGUCAGCACAGAAAGGACAAUGUCUUUUUUAGUAGCUGUGGCAGACUUGAGUUGCUGUAAUUUAUACAAAUUGUUUAGAAUGGUUUUUAAGACUAAGAAGGGAAAUAUACUUAUUGCACAAGACUUUUAUAAUUACUAUACUUAAAUUAUGCUCUAUGUGGGGACUGAGAAGUGUAUUUCUACGUUGCUUAUAUCUGAUCACUUUUGUAUUUGUUGAUUUAAAGCCUGUGGGUCUUUUUUUUAAUCACUCUUAAUAUCAACUUUUAUAAUCUUUUAAAAUAAAUCCUCUUAAUUCC